CGUGUAGGCGGGAAGGAAAGUCAGAUGUGAAAUCCCUGGGCUCAACCCAGGAACUGCAUUUGAAACUCCCUUUCUUGAGUGUCGGAGAGGAAAGCGGAAUUCCUGGUGUAGAGGUGAAAUUCGUAGAUAUCAGGAGGAACACCGGUGGCGAAGGCGGCUUUCUGGACGACAACUGACGCUGAGACGCGAAAGCGUGGGGAAGCAAACA
This 208-nucleotide ribosomal RNA is filed under the name uncultured bacterium. Its description in RNAcentral is "partial 16S ribosomal RNA". It matches the Rfam family "Bacterial small subunit ribosomal RNA", at positions 568 to 774 of the family's 1533-position model. The record is from RNAcentral.